Molecule: ribosomal RNA, 513 nt
Filed under: uncultured bacterium
Lineage: Bacteria
Description: bacterial SSU rRNA
Rfam family: Bacterial small subunit ribosomal RNA
Source: RNAcentral
GUUUGAUCAUGGCUCAGAUUGAACGCUGGCGGCAGGCCUAACACAUGCAAGUCGAGCGGUUGAGGUAGCUUGCUACCGAUGCAGCGGCGAACGGGUGAGUAAUACAUGGGAAUCUGCCUGGUAGUGGGGGACAACGUUUCGAAAGGAACGCUAAUACCGCAUACGCCCUACGGGGGAAAGGGGGGGAUCUUCGGACCUCUCGCUAUCAGAUGAGCCCAUGUCGGAUUAGCUAGUUGGUGGGGUAAAGGCUCACCAAGGCGACGAUCCGUAACUGGUCUGAGAGGAUGAUCAGUCACACUGGAACUGAGACACGGUCCAGACUCCUACGGGAGGCAGCAGUGGGGAAUAUUGGACAAUGGGCGCAAGCCUGAUCCAGCCAUGCCGCGUGUGUGAAGAAGGCCUUAGGGUUGUAAAGCACUUUCAGUGGGGAGAAAGGUAAUUCACUUAAUACGUGAGUUAAUUGAUGUUACCCACAGAAGAAGCACCGGCUAACUCCGUGCCAGCAGCCGCGGU